GCCACGGUGCUCUUCGCAGACAGGGAAGAGAUUUAAUUUAUGGGGCACUAAUUGGGACUUUUCUGAUUGUUUCAGAUCAUGGAUUGGAUUAUCAGGAAGUAUUCUUUACUGGUACGUAAUAUGCUUGUACUAUUUAGUGAUAUAUCUAAUCAGCUGUGGUUUAGAAUUCAUUGUUCAGAAAAUAUGAACUAUACAGAUUGAAAAUUUGGACAGUUCACUGAAAUAUGGCAAUAAUAGGACAAGUGUUAGGUUCAAACACCAUGCAGUCCUGAACUAUUAAACCUACACUUAUAUGUUGGUAAAUGAGUUUAAGAUCAGUAUGUAACUAAGUGCAGUUCAAAGUUUAGAUGGAGAGGAACAAGCUGGCUAAAUUCUCUCGAGUUAUAUCUACAUUUAUAUUUAUAGUGGCUUCUUACACUUAUAAGGUCUGAGAGAAUAAAGAGGUGAAGUUGGAACACCUUGUUAGCAAGCUCCUUUUUUGAUGCAGUAUGCAUGAAGAGGACCUACAUAAUAUCAGUCUAAAAAUCCUGACCCAGAAAGAUUGCAAAACAGAGAAGAAAACAAAAAUUUAAGAAAAGAAGGCAAUAAACUGCAUCUUGUAUCCAAAGUGAGCUGUGUCAAACUUGAUUAAGUCAAUGUUUGAUAUAUUAUUUUUAUGUACGUAUGGAUAAACCUGUGAUUGAAGUGAUACUGACUCAAAAUAUAAUUAGAUCGCCGCAUGAAAGUUUAAGCAAAGCAAUAGAUUAACUCACCUGUUGCUGAUGGAAUUGGAACCAGUCUAGAUACUAGCCCCAACAGUCAUGGAGGCAGCUUUCUGGGUACUGCAUACUCACCACACACCUCUUUAAUUCCAUAACUUCUUUUGCUAGUACUUGCUAUGAUAAUUUGUGAAGGUACUGCAUACUCACACCUCUUUUCUAUGUAUUGUUAUGCGUAUUUUGUUGUUCUUGUCUGCAUCGAUCGCUGGUCUUGGCUUGCAGGUGAACUUGUCAUAAUACAAGUUGUAUCCUAAAGCUCUUUAAAAAAAUACUUGUCAUAUCUUAAUGCUUUUCUGAAGUAACAUUUGUUUUUCAUUGCAAACAUGGUGGAUUUCACUUUGAAAAUUGUGUAGCAUGAGGCUGGAUAUUAUAAUAUUCAUGCACGAAUCUAAGACUUGCUUAGGCAGAGCUGACAAGGCUGGAUAUCACUAUAUUAAAUCCAAGGCUGUAUAGCGUACAUGUACCACUGUCACCCAGCAUCUCUCCAUUUGAGCAGCUGUGUACGUAACACAUUUGCAUUCUAGUUUUGCUACAUGGCCAAGUCUUGGAGUUGUGCUCCCAUUAGGGGAGUUGUGCCAAAACAAGCUAGGAAAAGGGUUAUAAAACAGAGCUUAGUAAUUCUUUUGUUCUCUUUUAUCAGCCACUCGAUUUUUUUAGCCAACAAUUUACAUAAAUCUCUCUUGAUUUUUCUCGCCAAAAUCAUAAAAGCAUUCCAAGAAAUUAUAUAAUACUUCACCCAGGAAAUUAUUUCUACAGUGGUGGUGAGAGUGGGGACUCCAUCAUAUCUUGGCCCCAUGACGAGUCUUCGAGCAUGGACAUGUAUAUUUUCUUCAGUGAUACAGAUUGUUCGUGAUUUCAAUGAGCUAGACCGUCUUAGGUUCCACGACAAGGCUACUCAGGUGGAUGCUGAGAAAAUUGGCAUGAAGGAGGAAAAGCUCAGGUUAAUGUUUGAGGUAACAAGACAACGCCUUUUGUAGAUGAUUUGGCAGAGCAGGAUCAAGAUGAAAAGAAGAUCAUGCAACAAUUACGUAACGAAAAGAUUCAAGGUGAUAGAAGAGUUGGAAGCGAAUGUUGCUCGAGGUUCUUAUAGAGAAAUUGAUAAAAUUUCAAGUAGCAACCGUUAGUGUAGUCAUCACAUGAGCUCCUGACUGCCAUGUAAAUAAUGUUGAAGUCAUACUCUCUGUCAUUUUCUCUUGUUUGAGGAGAGCUCAAUCUUACUCAUGCAAUAGUACUAGGAACUUGGUGGUUCUCAGACUAAAGCAAAGUAGCUUUGUAAUUUUUUUUUGGUUCAGGUACUUGGCCGUUGGUUUAUCAUCUAGUUUAGUGGAUGUUUCAGUUCCCUGCUGCUAGCAUUUUCUCUUGUUUGAGGACAAUGUCACUCCUGUAAUAACUACUCCUAGUAACUUGAUUGAAGCUCCAUCAUGUAAUAGCUAUUGCUUUCUAUCUACUAUUUUUGAAGUUGUGUAAUGGUGGUUGAAUGGUCUGCAAAUUUUGUUGCUUGCAA
This is a long non-coding RNA of Lolium rigidum, 2262 nucleotides long. RefSeq lists it as uncharacterized. Lineage: Eukaryota; Viridiplantae; Streptophyta; Magnoliopsida; Poales; Poaceae. The record is from RefSeq and is a predicted model, not a curated record. The transcript is spliced from 2 exons.